RNAcentral lists this long non-coding RNA (215 nucleotides) under Meriones unguiculatus (Mongolian gerbil). Its description in RNAcentral is "DLG2 antisense RNA 1 conserved region 1 (ENSMUGG00000007095.1)". It matches the Rfam family "DLG2 antisense RNA 1 conserved region 1". Lineage: Eukaryota; Metazoa; Chordata; Mammalia; Rodentia; Muridae. The record is from RNAcentral.
UUAACUUGUUAAAUCAUAAAAAAAAAAUCUUUCCAAAAAAAGGUAUACUGGAAACAUGUGGAUGUGGGGUUGUUAUUAAAAAUCAAAGCAAAAUAGCCUUUCCUGAAACAAGAGGAACCUCCCUUAACUCAGAGCUACAGCUGAGUCAACCAGAGUAAAAAAAUGGGUGUAUGCUGAAAAGUCGUGAAGUGUGGACACUAUCGCUAAUUAUAUUC